AACUCGAUGAAACCAGGCUUAUUUUUAAUAGCUUCACCAAUUAGUUGCGCUGCUCUACCUUCACCUUGAGCACGAACAAUAAAGCCCUGUUUUUCCAUUCGAGCACGAUCGACAUAGAAAGUAGCUAAAAAAUUAUUGUUAAUAUUGAAUUUGUACGAAGAGCUGAACCAUACCUCUUUGAGCAUCUUGCUGGGCAAUUUGCUUGGCCUCUACAGCGGCUGUAAAUUCAGGAGAGAAUUGAACUAUUGGAUGCAGUUAGUAUUUUAAGGUACAAACGCUUGACUAAUGUUAGUCAUACCAUGAGUAAGUGAGACAUCAUCAAGCAAAAUAUUGAAUCGGGCUGCUCUCUUCAUUAAAUUCUCGCGAACCAACCUAGAUACACGUUCACGCUGGGUGAUCAACUGGCUUGCAUUAAAUUGAGCUACAACGCUUUUUAAGACUUCAUUAACAAUAGAGGGCAAAACACGUUCAUCAUAAUCACCACCUAAAGUACGAUAAAUUUUUGGCAAAGCAUGAACAUCGGGACGAGACAAAACACGACAAUUAAUGUUCACCAUUUGUAAAUCUA
This is a non-coding RNA of Schizosaccharomyces pombe (fission yeast), 568 nucleotides long. NCBI's taxonomy places the organism in Eukaryota, Fungi, Ascomycota, Schizosaccharomycetes, Schizosaccharomycetales, Schizosaccharomycetaceae. The record is from the annotation of a GenBank genome assembly.